RNAcentral lists this transfer RNA (73 nucleotides) under Elusimicrobiota bacterium. Its description in RNAcentral is "Elusimicrobia bacterium (microbial mat metagenome) tRNA-Val". It matches the Rfam family "tRNA". Rfam says of the family: Transfer RNA (tRNA) molecules are approximately 80 nucleotides in length. Their secondary structure includes four short double-helical elements and three loops (D, anti-codon, and T loops). The record is from RNAcentral. Lineage: Bacteria; Pseudomonadati; Elusimicrobiota.
GGGCCCGUGGUCUAGUGGUUAUGACAUCUCGUUCACAGCGAGAGGAUCGCCAGUUCGACUCUGGCCGGGCCCA